RNAcentral lists this ribosomal RNA (331 nucleotides) under uncultured Rhizophagus. RNAcentral's name for it is "partial large subunit ribosomal RNA". Lineage: Eukaryota; Fungi; Glomeromycota; Glomeromycetes; Glomerales; Glomeraceae. The record is from RNAcentral.
CCAGUCGUACCUGCGGAUAAUCAGCCUUUAGGAUGCGACUUUGUGGAGCGUGAGGAGCUAAUCGCCUCCAUGCCUGUAUAUUCGUGUACUUGGGGUGUACUUAUUCGUGUGGUAAGUUAACAUCAAUUUUGGUCGUCAUAAAAUGACUGGAGGAAUGUAGCUUCGAUCUCGUAUUGAAGUGUUAUAGCCUUUGGUAGAUGUGAUUAUCGGGAUUGAGGAUUGCAACGGAUACCCUUCGGGGCUACUUGUCUGAUCUCUGAUCGUUGCUCUGGUGCCGAAAGCGUGCUUACGGUUAUCAAAGUCGAUGGUUAAUAGGUUAGAAUGGGUUAAA